This 64-nucleotide transfer RNA is filed under the name Cotylurus marcogliesei. RNAcentral's name for it is "tRNA-Leu". Lineage: Eukaryota; Metazoa; Platyhelminthes; Trematoda; Diplostomida; Strigeidae. The record is from RNAcentral.
UUAGAAGUGCCAGAAGUUUAUGGGCUGGAUUUAGGUUUCAGUUAUGGUUUUAUCCCCUUCUAAA